Humulus lupulus (European hop) is the source of this 149-nucleotide small nucleolar RNA. RefSeq annotates it as small nucleolar RNA snoR138. Lineage: Eukaryota; Viridiplantae; Streptophyta; Magnoliopsida; Rosales; Cannabaceae. The transcript has a single exon. The record is from RefSeq and is a predicted model, not a curated record.
AUUGCCCUCGAAUAACCGGAAGGUGGAAUUUAUAUAAACCCACAUUUGGUUCAGACAGGGGCAUAUAUCAUCUGGAAGUGGUUUAAGGAGGAGGAAUAGCUUGUUUAUCCUUUUCCUUGAUCUUUUUUAAAAGAUAGCUUCGAACAUUG